RNAcentral lists this ribosomal RNA (678 nucleotides) under Triticum aestivum (bread wheat). RNAcentral describes it as "partial small subunit ribosomal RNA". Lineage: Eukaryota; Viridiplantae; Streptophyta; Magnoliopsida; Poales; Poaceae. The record is from RNAcentral.
AUGGCGCGGGAGCUCCUUCGCUACCGCCCGGUUGGUGACCUCUACGAGUGGCUCGAGCGAAUCGCUGAGCUCGUCAGCGUUGCGCACGGGGGCUCCGCCGAGCCGGCUCGCUCGCUGCCUCAGCAACCACCUGCAGUUGGCGACGUGGCGCAUGGGGCUCCUCCACCACCUCCAGCCCAGGGUGCCAUCGUCGAGCCAAGGCGUGUGGCGCCACGGCGCGACCCGCCUCGCCCUGCACCGGCUCGGGAGGACGUGAGCUGCCAGGUGGUGCAGCGUCCCCAAGGAGAAGCGCACAUACUUCCAGCACCCCAGCACCACGCUCGCGUACCGCCGCAGGAGGUGGCGGUGCGCGUGCACCAAGACCAGUUUCCACCCCCUCGAAGACCUCCAGUGGCCACGGCAGGAUGCUGCGCGUUCACUCUGGAGCUUCGCAACGUCGUCUGGCCAAGCAAGUUCAAGCCUGACCUGCCUCCAUGCUACGACGGCACCGCCGACCCCGCCGAGUUCCUACAGCUCUACGAGCUGAGCAUCGAGGCGGCCAGCGGCGACGAGAAGAUCAUGGCAAAUUGGUUCCCGAUGGCCCUUAAGGAUGGCGCACGUUCUUGGCUCCUUAACCUACCCGAGGGGUCGGUUUCUUCCUGGGAGGAGAUGCGCGGCCGCUUCAUCGCCAACUUCUAG